RNAcentral lists this long non-coding RNA (1150 nucleotides) under Homo sapiens (human). RNAcentral's name for it is "non-protein coding HAR1A:3". Lineage: Eukaryota; Metazoa; Chordata; Mammalia; Primates; Hominidae. The record is from RNAcentral.
GACCUCCCCUCCCCACCGCCGCCCCUGCGGUGAGAUCCUGCCUGCCGGGGCGCAGGGGCCCGCGGUUGGGCUCCGGGAGACGGAAGAGGCCCCACAGCUCGGGCCCCACGCAGUGGACGCUGCCACUUAAUUUUGGCGUAAUUGAUGUCAAGGCGGGUGCCCGGGCCCCCAGUGAAAUGCCUCAUGAACUCGCUGCGAGGAACGGCGCUCCACGCGGUGCACGGUGGCCAAUCAGAGCUGCCGCUUCUGAUGGAGGCUGAGCCGGCUGGGGAGGCGUCUUGGCCAAGAACCAGCCCCAGCCUCGCUCAGGGCCCCAACCCGCAGACCAUAGUCUCAGCUCUGAACAUCUUCCCGCACCUCUGAGGAGCCAGGCCUGGAAACCCUCUAAAAUAGAUUUUUCUGCCUCAAGACAGAAGAUGGGCGUUCCAGGCAGAGAAGAGCUGCCCAGUCACGUGCUCUGCUCCACCUGGUCAGAGACCCUUGACCUUUAGAAGACUGGACCUGAGGGCGUGGCUGGUGGACCUGAGGGCGUGGAUGGUGGACCUGGCCACCCAGCUGUAGCUUUUUGGGUUCCUGUGGUCCCAUUUCUUGGGUCAAUCUCACACCUGGCAGCUCCCAGGAAGACACCCCCAGGCCCCUCACACUCCUGGGGGCAGCUGGAAUUGGCUUCAGGGCGGGACCAGGGGCCCCAUGGGUGUUUGGAAUCCCUGAUCUGGGUCAGGCACCGGCAGCAGGAUUCCAGCCUGGCCUGGACUCUGGUGUGUCCCGUUUGAAGAAACCCCGCCCUGUGAAAGUUCAAGUUUAGCAUCCAAUGACCCAUUUAAGAGGUUUGCUGAGCCACGUCACAGGAGGGUCUGGGUGCAAACGGAGGUGGCAACACACAGAGCGAGCCUUGAGCACCCAGGUUACCCCCAGGACCUCCAGUCUGGCUUGGGGGCUCCUGCUGUCCUGUGGAGCAGCCCCCUGGGAUCAGGGACGGGGCUGAGCUGGAGAGUGUGCAGGAUUGAUUAAUGAUGUCUGCCACGGUCAGGCCAACUGCUGUGUUUCUGGGGCCCACAAGCUAAAAAUGGUUGGAAAAAAAUCAAAACAUUAAUAUUUGUGACAUAUGAGAAUGCUAUGAAAGUCAACUUUGCUAUCCAUAAAUAAAGUU